Non-coding RNA from Podarcis lilfordi (Lilford's wall lizard), 78 nucleotides. Lineage: Eukaryota; Metazoa; Chordata; Lepidosauria; Squamata; Lacertidae. The record is from the annotation of a GenBank genome assembly.
UCUGUGGAGUAGCUCCGCCAGUAGAGCAGAAGACUCUUAAUCUCAGGGUCAUGGGUUCAAGCCCCACACUGAGGAGAA